GAAAUGCGAUAAGUAAUGUGAAUUGCAGAAUUCCGUGAAUCAUCGAAUCUUUGAACGCACAUUGCGCCCUCUGGUAUUCCGGGGGGCAUGCCUGUCCGAGCGUCAUUGCGAACCCCUCAAGCACGGCUUGUGUGAUGGGCCCUCCCGCGUCUUGGUCGUCAAGACGGACCCGAAAUGCAGUGGCGGCUUCGCGGUUAUCCGAUCAGCCAGAGCGUAUGGGGACUUUCUCUCUGUCACACGCCCGCGGCGCGGACCGACGCCUGUCGACCUUUAUUCAUCUUUUUCUCGGUUGACCUCGGAUCAGGUAGGGAUACCCGCUGAACUUAAGC
Molecule: unclassified non-coding RNA, 329 nt
Filed under: plant metagenome
Description: partial contains 5.8S ribosomal RNA, internal transcribed spacer 2, and large subunit ribosomal RNA
Rfam family: 5.8S ribosomal RNA (bases 1-105)
Source: RNAcentral